RNAcentral lists this long non-coding RNA (452 nucleotides) under Equus asinus (donkey). RNAcentral describes it as "lncRNA (ENSEASG00005034839.1)". The record is from RNAcentral. Lineage: Eukaryota; Metazoa; Chordata; Mammalia; Perissodactyla; Equidae.
CACAGGAGGACCCUGCUGGGAGAGUGGGAAAGCACUCACAGAGAAGUUGUCACUGAAAUCUUAAAGAAAGAGGUUUUCAGGAGCACAAGAAAAGGAGAGAUGAUGGACACCAUAAUCCUCGAAGAAGGCUUCGUGGAAGAGGGGGAACCUGACCCAGACCUUUAAGAAUGAAGAUAUUGGAUGGGCUGAUAAAAGCGGAGAUGGUCAUUCUGGGAAGGAAAAUGAGAUGAACGAAAGCUUAGAAGAGAAGGAGGUAACACAUGCUCAGAGGAGGGGGAGGCAGAAGACUGGCCUGGACGGGAGGAGAAGGCGAGAAAUGCUCAGAGGAUUAUUGAAGAUGAGCUGAUUCUAAAGAUGCUGUGAUAAAACGAUAUGAAAUUUUUCUUCAGUUUGCAUGUAUCUGCAUGAAACAGAAAUGAAAUAAUAUAUUUCACAGUAUUGUUACUAAGCUA